GUGCCUACGGGGGGCAGCAGUGGGGGAUAUUGCACAAUGGGGGGAACCCUGAUGCAGCGACGCCGCGUGGGUGAAGGAGCGUUUCGGCGCGUAAAGCCCUAUCGGCAGGGAAGAAGGAGGACGGUACCUGACUAAGAAGCCCCGGCUAACUACGUGCCAGCAGCCGCGGUAAUACGUAGGUGGCAAGCGUUGUCCGGAAUUACUGGGUGUAAAGGGAGCGUAGGCGGGAAAGCAAGUUGAAUGUUUAAGGUACGGGCUCAACCUGUACAAGCGUUCAAAACUGUUUUUCUUGAGUGGGGUAGAGG
RNAcentral lists this ribosomal RNA (305 nucleotides) under uncultured bacterium. RNAcentral describes it as "bacterial SSU rRNA". It matches the Rfam family "Bacterial small subunit ribosomal RNA", at positions 335 to 657 of the family's 1533-position model. The record is from RNAcentral.